This 793-nucleotide ribosomal RNA is filed under the name uncultured Alphaproteobacteria bacterium. Its description in RNAcentral is "bacterial SSU rRNA". It matches the Rfam family "Bacterial small subunit ribosomal RNA", at positions 33 to 874 of the family's 1533-position model. Lineage: Bacteria; Pseudomonadati; Pseudomonadota; Alphaproteobacteria. The record is from RNAcentral.
ACGCUGGCGGCAUGCCUCAUACAUGCAAGUCGAACGAGGUCUUCGGACCUAGUGGCGCACGGGUGAGUAACAUGUGGGAAUCUACCUGAAGGUUCGGAAUAACUAUGGGAAACUGUAGCUAAUACCGGAUGUGUCUGCAAAGAGAAAGAUUUAUCGCCUUCAGAUGAGCCCGCACUAGAUUAGCUAGUUGGUGAGGUAAAUGCUCCACCAAGGCUACGAUCUAUAGCUGAUUUGAGAGGAUGAUCAGCCACACUGGGACUGAGACACGGCCCAGACUCCUACGGGAGGCAGCAGUAGGGAAUAUUGGACAAUGGGGGAAACCCUGAUCCAGCAAUGCCGCGUGAGUGAAGAAGGCCUUCGGGUUGUAAAACUCUUUCAUCAAUGAUGAUAAUGACAUUAAUUGAAGAAGAAGCUCCGGCUAACUUCGUGCCAGCAGCCGCGGUAAUACGAAGGGGGCUAGCGUUGUUCGGAAUCACUGGGCGUAAAGCGUAUGUAGGCGGAUCAAAAAGUUAGAUGUGAAAUCCCUGGGCUCAACCCAGGAACUGCAUUUAAAACUAGUGAUCUAGAAAUUGGUAAAGGUUAGUAGAAUUUCCAGUGUAGAGGUGAAAUUCGUAGAUAUUGGAAAGAAUACCAGAAGCGAAGGCGACUAACUAGGCCAUUUUUGACGCUGAGAUACGAAAGCGUGGGUAGCAAACAGGAUUAGAUACCCUGGUAGUCCACGCAGUAAACGAUGAGUGCUAGUCGCUGGGACAAUAGUCUCAGUGUCGUAGCUAACGCAUUAAGCACUCCGCCU